AUUGAACGCUGGCGGCAUGCUUUACACAUGCAAGUCGAACGGUAACAGGGUGCUUGCACCGCUGACGAGUGGCGAACGGGUGAGUAAUGCGUCGGAACGUGCCGAGUAGUGGGGGAUAACGCAGCGAAAGUUGUGCUAAUACCGCAUACGUACUGAGGUAGAAAGUGGGGGACCUUCGGGCCUCACGCUAUUCGAGCGGCCGACGUCUGAUUAGCUAGUAGGUGAGGUAAAGGCUCACCUAGGCGACGAUCAGCAGCGGGUCUGAGAGGAUGAGCCGCCACACUGGGACUGAGACACGGCCCAGACUCCUACGGGAGGCAGCAGUGGGGAAUUUUGGACAAUGGGCGAAAGCCUGAUCCAGCCAUGCCGCGUGUCUGAAGAAGGCCUUCGGGUUGUAAAGGACUUUUGUCAGGGAGGAAAUCCCUAGUGCUAAUAACACUGGGGGAUGGCAGUACCUGAAGAAUAAGCACCGGCUAACUACGUGCCAGCCGCCGCAGUAA
Molecule: ribosomal RNA, 500 nt
Filed under: uncultured bacterium
Lineage: Bacteria
Description: partial 16S ribosomal RNA
Rfam family: Bacterial small subunit ribosomal RNA
Source: RNAcentral